AUUCUUUCAGCCACAACCACAAAUUCCAAAUCCCAAUUCUAAACCUAAAAUUACAAUUUGAGUCAUGUAUCGUCUCUUUAACGACAAAUCUCGAUAAUCCUCUCCAGCCUUAUCAUCUCCGUUUUCGCUCACCGCGCUCCAGUCUCAACCUUCCGCAAUCCAACACCCACGUUGCUCGAUUUACGUGACAUUGGAUGUGCUAAAGGAAGACACUAUUGAAUGAAAGGGAUGAAACCUUCUUCAUUCCUCAUUCUCGUGGAAGAUUUGUGACCUAGCUUCCACCUGUUCAUCUCAUUGUUCUCACAUGCGCUCUCCCUUGUUCAUAUCAGAUUUUGAAAGUUUUUUUUUUUUUUUACAGUUUAUCAUGAUUUAUGAAGUGCUCGAGACUCAUCCGUUUUUAUUUCUAAUUGCUUUAAAUGAGUUUAUUACCUACAUGGUACAGGGACUUCUCAAAAUAUCGAGAAUUUGGUAGGGAGGUGAGCAAUGUUAGGGAUAUUUCUUUGAUAAAAUCUAAAAUAGUAUGUGCUUUCUAUUCUUUUAAUUUCCAUCUAUCUCUAUAGAGUUUGAGGUGCUUUUUAAUUUUUGUGGGGUUUCUAUCCAAAGUUUGGCCGGUAACCCCAAGGAUGCAAAAUAAGGUUUUUAUGGAUUUGGAUUCACCUUCUUGUGAACAUUUGAGUCAUGGUCUUUAUAUUCAUGGAGUUGUUUUGAUGUGUGACUUGACGUGGCUGAUAUUAGUGACUUUGUUGCUACUAAGGUACUCUUUCAACUCUCUUAUUUUUGUUUUUAUGAAAGGAUGUAAAAAUACACCAUGAUUUGAUUGAGGAAUGGUAAAUAAUUGAACCAUCAUCCACUAUUUCUCUAUAAACUUUCACUUUUUAUUUCAUUGCCUCACACAUGAACACUAAUUCAAUUGGAAAUCUUGUGAACAGUGCUCAAGGCUAUGCAAAUGGACGAUGAUAAAUAUAAAGAUCAAGUUGUAUUACGAUGAAGAUUUACUAGCUUUCUUAGUUUUCUGUUGAUUAAUUUAUAUUGUAUUAUUGUGUUUUUUUAAUGUGAGUACUAGUAUGAGGGAGUGAUGUGUGAUAUGUGUGAUACACAGUGAUUAUGCAUCUGUCAUAUAUAUUUUAUCUCCUUUUGAACCUCUUGCACUCCAUAUGCUUGAAGUGAUUAUUCAA
Molecule: long non-coding RNA, 1175 nt
Organism: Vicia villosa (hairy vetch)
Lineage: Eukaryota; Viridiplantae; Streptophyta; Magnoliopsida; Fabales; Fabaceae
Exons: 2
Source: RefSeq, a predicted model, not a curated record